AACGCACCUUGCGCUCCUUGGUAUUCCGAGGAGCACGCCUGUUCGAGUGUCGUGAAGUUCUCAAGCUUUAGAUGCUUUUUGUUUGACAAAUAUGCUCUCUAAGCUUGGUAUUGGGCUUUGCCGUGUCCCUUCUUGGAACGGCUGGUCUUAAAUGCAUUAGCUUGGCCCCUCAUCUGGCAUUGGUUCUACUCAGUGUGAUAAUAAUCUGACCGCUGAGGACAUCUUUUGGGAUGGCCAAUUCUUGUUGGGGUUGCUUUCUAAUCUGGUUUACUGGAUUCUUGAAAUCCGGUGCCACUUUCAAUUUUGACCUCGAAUCAGGUGGGACUACCCGCUGAACUUAA
Molecule: unclassified non-coding RNA, 341 nt
Filed under: uncultured Clavulinaceae
Lineage: Eukaryota; Fungi; Basidiomycota; Agaricomycetes; Cantharellales; Hydnaceae
Description: sequence contains ITS2
Source: RNAcentral